RNAcentral lists this transfer RNA (73 nucleotides) under Candidatus Aenigmatarchaeota archaeon. RNAcentral's name for it is "tRNA-Ala". It matches the Rfam family "tRNA". From Rfam's summary of the family: Transfer RNA (tRNA) molecules are approximately 80 nucleotides in length. Their secondary structure includes four short double-helical elements and three loops (D, anti-codon, and T loops). Lineage: Archaea; Nanobdellati; Candidatus Aenigmatarchaeota. The record is from RNAcentral.
GGGCUUGUAGAUCAACUGGAAGAUCGCUACCUUCGCAAGGUAGAGGCUGCGGGUUCGAGUCCCGCCGAGUCCA